Molecule: long non-coding RNA, 1244 nt
Filed under: Zonotrichia albicollis (white-throated sparrow)
Lineage: Eukaryota; Metazoa; Chordata; Aves; Passeriformes; Passerellidae
Description: lncRNA (ENSZALG00000008537.1)
Source: RNAcentral
GGAGCUGGUUUUGGGGAGCUGUUUUGAGGAGCUGGUUUUGGGGAUCAGGAGCUGGUUUUGGGGAGCUGGUUUUGGGGAUCUGGAGCUGUUUUUGGGGAACUAGUUUUGAUGAUCAGGAGCUGUUUUGAGGAACUAUUUUGAGGAAUCAGGAGCUCUUUUGUGGGAGCUGUUUUGGGCAUCAGGACCUGUUUUUGGGGAGCUGUUUUGAGGGAAUCAUGAGCUGGUUUUGGGGAUCAUGAGCUGGUUUUGGGGAGCUGGUUUUGGGGAUCAGGAGCUGUUUUUGAGGAGCAAUUUUUGGGAAUCAGGAGCUGGUUUUGGGGAGCUGUUUUGGGGGAAUCAGGACCUGUUUUGAGGAGCUAUUUUGGGGGAUCGGGAGCUGGUUUUGGGGACCUGGUUUUGGGGAUCAGGACCUGUUUUGUGGGUCCUGUUUUGAGGAGCUGUUUUGGGGGGAUCAGGAGCUGGUUUUGACGAUCAGGAGCUGUUUUUGGGGACCUGAUUUUGGGGAUCUGGACCUGUUUUGGGGGAGCUGUUUUGGGGGACCAGGACCUGUUUUGAGGAGCUGAUUUUGGGGAUCAGGAGCUGUUUUUGAGAACCUGUUUUGGGGGAUCAGGAGCUGAUUUUGGGGAGCUGGUUUUGAGGAGCUAUUUUGAGGGAUCAGGAGCUGGUUUGGGGGAUCAGGAACUGGCUUUGGGAAUCAGGAGCUGUUUUGUGGGACCUGUUUUGAGGAGCUAUUUUGAGGGAUCAUGAGCUGGUUUUGGGGACCUGUUUUGGGGGAUCAGGAGCUGCUUUUGAGGAGCUAUUUUUGGGGAUCAGGAGCUGUGUUUGGGGACCUGAUUUUGGAGAUCUGGACCUGUUUUGGAGGAGCUGUUUUUGAUGACCAGGACCUGUUUUUGGGGAGCUGUUUUGGGGAUCAGGAGCCAUUUUUGAGGGAUCAGGACCUGGUUUUGGGUACCUGUUUGGAGGAGCUGUUUCUGGGGGAUCAGGGCCUAUUUUGAGGAGCUAUUUUGAGGAAUCAGGAGCUCUUUUGUGGGAGCUGUUUUGGGGAAUCAGGAGCUGGUUUUGGGGACCUGAUUUUGAGGAUCUGGACCUGUUUUGGGGGAGCUGUUUGUGAUGAUCAAGACCUGUUUUGAGGAGCUGUUUUGAGGAAUCAGGAGCUGGUUUGGGGGAUCAGGAGCUGUUUUUGGGGAGCUGUUUUGAGGACCUGUUUUGGGAGAUCAGGAGCUGAUUUUGGGGGGAUCAGGAGC